CAACCCUCAAGCCCCCGGGCUUGGUGUUGGGGAUCGGCGAGCCUUCGCGCCCGCCGUCCCCUAAAUCUAGUGGCGGUCUCGCUGUAGCUUCCUCUGCGUAGUAGCACACCUCGCACUGGGAAACAGCGCGGCCACGCCGUUAAACCCCCAACUUCUGAAA
This 160-nucleotide unclassified non-coding RNA is filed under the name uncultured Nectriaceae. RNAcentral describes it as "sequence contains ITS2". The record is from RNAcentral. Lineage: Eukaryota; Fungi; Ascomycota; Sordariomycetes; Hypocreales; Nectriaceae.